Molecule: long non-coding RNA, 484 nt
Organism: Saccoglossus kowalevskii
Lineage: Eukaryota; Metazoa; Hemichordata; Enteropneusta; Harrimaniidae
Source: RefSeq, a predicted model, not a curated record
GGAGAUCUUAACCGCCCAAUGUUUUGAAGCAACUCUAAAUGUUUCCUUGUUUUUAAUUAAUCGGAUAUACUCGUAUGUAGCUCACUGCGAGCAGUUGUGCGUUGUUUUAUAAUCCAGUUCAUAUCUUUUGGAUUUGCUGAUUUACGAAUCUAAUCCACAGGUGACAACUAGUGGGAAGAAAAAGACCACGCCAUUGAUAUCUAGGCAACACGAUAAAUGGCAUAUUGUCACUUGACUGACGUGGGAUGGACGCAAUCGCCGGCAUUGCGGUGUAGCAAAUGUACUGAGCCCCCGGCAUGGAAUCUACGUGAACCGCCAUGCCUCUCCCUUGAAGACUGCAUAUGUGUGUGGUGUAUCAUUAUUAUUAUCCUUAUUAUAAUAAUAAUAAUCAUUAUUGUUAUAAUCUGCAUUUGGAAAAGAAAAAAGAUUUAUAACUGGUAUAAACAGUGGCACAAUAGAGCCCGAGUUACGGAUAGUUCAACGG